Molecule: ribosomal RNA, 425 nt
Filed under: uncultured bacterium
Lineage: Bacteria
Description: bacterial SSU rRNA
Rfam family: Bacterial small subunit ribosomal RNA
Source: RNAcentral
GUGGGGAAUCUUGCGCAAUGGGCGAAAGCCUGACGCAGCCAUGCCGCGUGAAUGAUGAAGGUCUUAGGAUUGUAAAAUUCUUUCGCCGGGGACGAUAAUGACGGUACCCGGAGAAGAAGCUCCGGCUAACUUCGUGCCAGCAGCCGCGGUAAUACGAAGGGGGCUAGCGUUGCUCGGAAUUACUUGGCGUAAAGGGCGCGUAGGCGGACAGCUUAGUCAGAGGUGAAAGCCCAGGGCUCAACCUUGGAAUUGCCUUUGAUACUGGCUGUCUUGAGUACGGGAGAGGUGAGUGGAACUCCGAGUGUAGAGGUGAAAUUCGUAGAUAUUCGGAAGAACACCAGUGGCGAAGGCGACUCACUGGCCCGUUACUGACGCUAAGGCGCGAAAGCGUGGGGAGCAAACAGGAUUAGAAACCCCAGUAGUCC